Molecule: ribosomal RNA, 253 nt
Filed under: uncultured bacterium
Lineage: Bacteria
Description: partial 16S ribosomal RNA
Rfam family: Bacterial small subunit ribosomal RNA
Source: RNAcentral
UACAGAGGGUGCAAGCGUUAAUCGGAUUUACUGGGCGUAAAGCGAGUGUAGGUGGUUUGCUAAGUCAGGUGUGGAAUCCCAGGGCUCAACCCUGGAACUGCAUUUGAUACUGGCAGGCUAGAGUGUGGUAGAGGAUAGUGGAAUUCCCGGUGUAGCGGUGAAAUGCGUAGAUAUCGGGAGGAACAUCAGUGGCGAAGGCGGCUAUCUGGACUAACACUGACACUGAGACUCGAAAGCGUGGGGAGCAAACAGG